RNAcentral lists this ribosomal RNA (372 nucleotides) under uncultured organism. RNAcentral describes it as "partial 16S ribosomal RNA". It matches the Rfam family "Bacterial small subunit ribosomal RNA", at positions 527 to 896 of the family's 1533-position model. The record is from RNAcentral.
GUAGGUGGCAAGCGUUGUCCGGAAUUAUUGGGCGUAACGCGCGCGCAGGCGGUUCUUUAAGUCUGAUGUGAAAGCCCACGGCUCAACCGUGGAGGGUCAUUGGAAACUGGAGAACUUGAGUACAGAAGAGGAAAGCGGAAUUCCACGUGUAGCGGUGAAAUGCGUAGAGAUGUGGAGGAACACCAGUGGCGAAGGCGGCUUUCUGGUCUGUAACUGACGCUGAGGCGCGAAAGCGUGGGGAGCAAACAGGAUUAGAUACCCUGGUAGUCCACGCCGUAAACGAUGAGUGCUAAGUGUUAGGGGGUUUCCGCCCCCCUUAGUGCUGCAGCUAACGCAUUAAGCACUCCGCCUGGGAGUACGACCGCAAGGUUG